Potamilus streckersoni is the source of this 67-nucleotide non-coding RNA. The record is from the annotation of a GenBank genome assembly. NCBI's taxonomy places the organism in Eukaryota, Metazoa, Mollusca, Bivalvia, Unionida, Unionidae.
GGUGGCCUAGUGGUAGAGCACCUGCCUCGGAUGAGGUAGGUUGUGGGUUCAAACCCCAGCUGAGUCA